This 69-nucleotide transfer RNA is filed under the name Loxodonta africana (African savanna elephant). It matches the Rfam family "tRNA". From Rfam's summary of the family: Transfer RNA (tRNA) molecules are approximately 80 nucleotides in length. Their secondary structure includes four short double-helical elements and three loops (D, anti-codon, and T loops). Lineage: Eukaryota; Metazoa; Chordata; Mammalia; Proboscidea; Elephantidae. The record is from Rfam by way of RNAcentral.
GCAGUGGUGGUUCAGUGGUAGAAUUUUGCUUUCAUGCAGGAGACCCAGGUUCGAUUCCCAGCCAGUGCA